UAACCCGGAGGAGAGACGAAACAGGAUUUCCUCUCCCUGCGGUUCACAACGACGACUUGAGGGAGGCAGGGUCCCUAUGAGCCGAGGCGGCUGGCCGUGUCGUGCUUUGUCAACUGCACACCUCACCCUGAGUUUACGGUCGUUGCAAGCUGCGUCAGUCGGCGAAACUAAGCUGUAAGGAGUAGCCCCGUUCAACAGCGUGACGAAACACCGUCUCCAACUUCACCACCCCAGCUAGGUUACAGCACUGCAGAAAACCCAGGGAAAUGCAACAACUCCUCUAACAGGCGCUGUACAAUCCUGCAAACCUUCGUCCAGGGAAGACACGUAUACUAUCGUGGACGAGCAAUCUCUGAAAUUCAGCCUCCCUGUAACAGCACGCCUCAGUGCUGAGAGAGAAGCUCAGCAAUGCCAUUUAAA
Non-coding RNA from Lepisosteus oculatus (spotted gar), 420 nucleotides. Lineage: Eukaryota; Metazoa; Chordata; Actinopteri; Semionotiformes; Lepisosteidae. The record is from RefSeq and is a predicted model, not a curated record.